Small nucleolar RNA from Trifolium pratense (red clover), 94 nucleotides. RefSeq annotates it as small nucleolar RNA R64/Z200 family. Lineage: Eukaryota; Viridiplantae; Streptophyta; Magnoliopsida; Fabales; Fabaceae. The record is from RefSeq and is a predicted model, not a curated record. The transcript has a single exon.
GUUCUGCUGUGAUGAAUUAAGAACAAAUUCACAUGUCAGACUUCAGAGAUUUUUAUAAUCAAUGAGAAUGACAAUCUUAUUCACUGAGCAGAUA